This 642-nucleotide ribosomal RNA is filed under the name Triticum aestivum (bread wheat). RNAcentral describes it as "partial small subunit ribosomal RNA". Lineage: Eukaryota; Viridiplantae; Streptophyta; Magnoliopsida; Poales; Poaceae. The record is from RNAcentral.
AUGGACGCGGCGGCCAGCAGCGCCGGGCAGAGCGCUGCCAGGGUGGCCGAUCUGCUCCGUGGGUUCCUCGCCGUGCAGCAGCGCCGCGCCGAGGCUUACUCCAAGCUCCGAAGUGGGUUUUCUGAAUAUAUGGCUAAUGGAGGUGAAUGCGCCUAUCAACAACUAUGUGGGAAUGUUACAGCCGAAUUUAAUGAUUGCUCAACACAGAUUCUUGAAAUGGUGUCCCUCCUGUCAAAGCCAAGUUUUUGUCGUGGAGAUCUUGCCAACUUAUUGAAGGAUGUGCAAGCAUGUGAGAGAGAUAAGUUGCAGCUGACAGCUAGGAUUCAGGUGUUGAAGAAGGCUGGCCGUCCUUCGGAACGCCUGGUAAACCAUGAGCACUGCAGGUCAAGCAGCACGUCCCAGCAUGUGUGUGCGAACCUCAAGGAGAUAACCGAGGCUUCCGGCACGGAGGACGCAGAGGCGGACGCAGAGUAUGACGCUGCUCUGAAGGAGGCAAUACAGGGCAUUCAAGAGGCAGUGACUAGCAUAAACGAGCACAUGGAGGAAGUGCGGUACGAGAUCGACGCCCUCGAGGCUGACACGGUUGACAGCAGGCUGAGUGAAGUCGAGGAAGCGUUCCCGGAUGCUCUGUUGAUAGAGUAG